Molecule: unclassified non-coding RNA, 255 nt
Filed under: Hevea brasiliensis (rubber tree)
Lineage: Eukaryota; Viridiplantae; Streptophyta; Magnoliopsida; Malpighiales; Euphorbiaceae
Source: RNAcentral
GGGACAAGUACAAGAGUCUUCUCUUCUUCAACAAGUUCUUGUUUUUUCUCUCUGUAUCUGAAGUAGCUACUCUCUCACUGUAUCCCAUUAAAGAGAUCAUGGAGGAACUUGAUCUUAUCAAACAAGAGACUACGGAUGAACUUGAUGAAAGCCUUAAUCAACAUGAGAAUGAGGUAGUACCUGAGGACUUACUCCUUGAGGUGAAAGAAGAACCAUCACUCCUUGAGGUGAACCAAGACCAAGACCAAGACCAAG